CAAGCGGCCAAGCUGUGCUUCCCAAACCAGCCACGCAGAGCAAAGGAGCAGCAUGGGAGAAGAGAGUGGGUCAUUGCCUUCCCCAAAGACAGGGUCCAGAAAUUCUGGAAGAUCAAGGUUUCAGUUCUAGUCCUGAUUCUGACACCUACAUGCUGUUUAUCUUGGCAGAGGAUCCUAAACCUCUCCAGGCCUCAGAUUAUCAUCUAUAAAAUGCGACCGUUGGAGCAGAUGUCUGCGAUCUGAUGGCGAUUGUGACUUUUCUCUGAUGUAUCCUGGUGCAUUAGGAAGCAGAAAGAGUGGGAUUUAAGUGGUUGCAACAUGUACUUAAAUCAAAACACACUUAUAAACACCCUAUGGAGAGAACUACGGAUUUCGGGAGCAGACAAGAUGACCCAAGCAGGCAAGCUGACAACCACCACUGGAGCUCAGUACCUGGACAAGGAGGAUGCCACAGGAAGGUCCGGGCCUCUGGCAUUAGUUCUCCAAGUCUCGGUUCCCCAUCUUUGCAAAAGGAGGGUCAUUACACCUGUCCUGGUUACCCCACAGAAUUGUGGCUGGAGCUAGCGAGUACGGGAGCUCCGGAGUCCCGGCCUGAGCGCCACCGCCCAGCAAUUCUGCUUCCAGCUCGGCGGCCUGGUGAUGGGGCUCGGGCCACCUCCCUUCCCUGGUUCCCCGACUCCAUCCAAAGCGCAGCUCAGACAGCUCAGGGAGUACCAGCGAUCUUCCUGUCCUCUCCUGGUUGCCACCCCUGCCCGCCCUGGGUCCCGGUGGGGCUCUGCGCCGGGUAGGAGAGGUGGGGACAUCUCACCGGUCAGCGGCGCCCGGCGACCGUGCGCAGCUCCUGGCGACACCGCGUGGUGAGCACCGUGAGGCGCGCGUAUUUAUAGCGCUCUGUCUCGUCUACACCCCCUUUGGGGCUGGCUGCAAACCUGCAUGACUCACGCCCAAAGAAUGCUGUGGAAUUCACCGGGAGCUUUCUGGAAGCUGGCGCCGGAGGGGAUGCGGAGGCGGGCUCUGCCCUAAGGUGCUGGGUGACCUUGGACAACCACUUUGCCUUCUGGGCCUCAGCCUCUUCCCUGUGGACAACAAAG
Molecule: non-coding RNA, 1091 nt
Organism: Leptonychotes weddellii (Weddell seal)
Lineage: Eukaryota; Metazoa; Chordata; Mammalia; Carnivora; Phocidae
Source: RefSeq, a predicted model, not a curated record